RNAcentral lists this long non-coding RNA (425 nucleotides) under Anser brachyrhynchus (Pink-footed goose). Its description in RNAcentral is "lncRNA (ENSABRG00000017347.1)". Lineage: Eukaryota; Metazoa; Chordata; Aves; Anseriformes; Anatidae. The record is from RNAcentral.
AAAAGUCUGAGCUAGAAGCAAGUAGCAUGGUAAUUGAGUUCACAGGAUUCAUAGGAUCCUGGAAUCACAGAAUGGUUUGGGUUGGAAGGGACCUUAAAGACCAUCUAAUUUAAAUCCCCAUGCCAUGGGCAGGGAUACCUCCUGCUAGACCAGGUUGCCCAAAGCUCCAUCCAGCCUGGCCAGUUAUUUUUAUCAAGCUUGUCAUUGGAACUGUGGAACGCAGACAUGUCAGAGGUCUGGAGACCAGAAGGGAAGUCAGAGGUGCUGCUGUUCCAGCUGAUGACUCUAUAGAAGUCCGUGGAGAAGCGUCCUGCUCUCAUGCAAGGUGGGCUCCAUCCUGAGAGGUGUCUUCUGCAGACCUGGGAGGGCGUCCUUGCAGCAGGUGACUUUUCUCACUGGUCCCUGGGAAUAAAUCUGCCCUCUUA